This 72-nucleotide transfer RNA is filed under the name Schistocerca americana (American grasshopper). RNAcentral describes it as "tRNA-Pro". It matches the Rfam family "tRNA". From Rfam's summary of the family: Transfer RNA (tRNA) molecules are approximately 80 nucleotides in length. Their secondary structure includes four short double-helical elements and three loops (D, anti-codon, and T loops). Further hydrogen bonds mediate the characteristic L-shaped molecular structure. tRNAs have two regions of fundamental functional importance: the anti-codon, which is responsible for specific mRNA codon recognition, and the 3' end, to which the tRNAs corresponding amino acid is attached (by aminoacyl-tRNA synthetases). tRNAs cope with the degeneracy of the genetic code in two manners: having more than one tRNA (with a specific anti-codon) for a particular amino acid; and 'wobble' base-pairing, i.e. permitting non-standard base-pairing at the 3rd anti-codon position. RNAcentral also lists the same sequence under 1 other name. Lineage: Eukaryota; Metazoa; Arthropoda; Insecta; Orthoptera; Acrididae. The record is from RNAcentral.
GGCUCGUUGGUCUAGGGGUAUGAAUCCUGCUUCGGGUGCAGGAGGUCCCGGGUUCAAAUCCCAGACGAGCCC